GCGGAUAUGGCCCUCACGGGUCUAAUCCACCCAUAAACACCUUGUGAACACAGUCAGGGGGACUCAGGCCGUGAAAGCCCAGGCGAUUAGCGGAAGGGCCCUCCUUUGCAAACCCGUUUAGAAGUCUUGAAGUACUUUUGUAUAAUCUAGUA
This 152-nucleotide unclassified non-coding RNA is filed under the name soil metagenome. RNAcentral's name for it is "partial internal transcribed spacer 1". The record is from RNAcentral.